UACGUAGGGGGCGAGCGUUGUCCGGAUUCAUUGGGCGUAAAGAGCUCGUAGGCGGUUCAGUAAGUCGGGUGUGAAAUCUCCGUGCUCAACACGGAGCGGCCACCUGAUACUGCUGUGACUCGAGUCCGGUAGGGGAGUGUGGAAUUCCCGGUGUAGAGGUGAAAUUCGUAGAUAUUGGGAAGAACACCGGUGGCGAAGGCGGCUCUCUGGACCGUAACUGACGCUGAGGCGCGAAAGCGUGGGGAGCAAACAGG
This 254-nucleotide ribosomal RNA is filed under the name uncultured bacterium. RNAcentral's name for it is "partial 16S ribosomal RNA". It matches the Rfam family "Bacterial small subunit ribosomal RNA", at positions 524 to 776 of the family's 1533-position model. The record is from RNAcentral.